AUGUUGGUUGAAUUCGACCCAAUUAUCAAAGAGCAUGUUGACCGCAUCACCAAUGAUAAAAUUCGUGAUCACUACCUUGGCCCUUCUAUCCAGAAUGAGUUAAUAAGUAUGCUCUCUACUGCCAUCAGGUCUAGAAUCAUUGAAAAGGUAAAGGAAGCAAAAUAUUUCUCAGUUAUUCUUGAUUGUACUCCCGAUGCAAGCCAUCAAGAACAGAUGUCUUUGAUAAUUAGGUAUGUUGAUACAUCUUCUGCUUCUGUUUGCAUUGAAGAAUCUUUCUUAAGAUUUUUGGAGGUGAAUGAUACCACUAGGCAAGGUCUAUUUAAUGUUCUUAAAGAGGAGUUGAAGAAUCUUGGUCUUGAUAUGGACAAUGUGAGAGGACAGGGUUAUGAUAAUGGGUCAAAUAUGAAAGGAAACAAUAAGGGGGUACAAUAG
This 432-nucleotide ribosomal RNA is filed under the name Triticum aestivum (bread wheat). RNAcentral describes it as "partial small subunit ribosomal RNA". Lineage: Eukaryota; Viridiplantae; Streptophyta; Magnoliopsida; Poales; Poaceae. The record is from RNAcentral.